Homo sapiens (human) is the source of this 407-nucleotide long non-coding RNA. Lineage: Eukaryota; Metazoa; Chordata; Mammalia; Primates; Hominidae. The record is from Ensembl.
CCCCCACCCCCCACCAGGCAGGGGUCGCGGGAGAUGGCGGGCGCCUUUCUGGUGGCUCCACGUCCUCCUUACUCCCGAAGUCCCGGCGGCCCCGAGUCUGCCCCAACUCCAGCAUCCGUUCUCCCCGAGCUGCGGCGGGGAAAACAAGAUCUGCUCUCCGCAGACAGUGGGCUGCCGGCGGUGGACCAGGGAGAGGUGGCGGGACCCCGGCUGCAGCCCGCUCAGCCGCUCCGCCCGGGCGCCGUCCCCAGCGCCUCCCGCGCCCGAGCUCCAGACACAAAGGCGGGGACACGAGCCCGGGACCCCGCGCCGGGAGCCUCCCAACUCCGUGCCGCGCACUCACCCCAUCGAGGCGGCGGCGGCGCUCCCCGGACCCAGCUGGCUGCUCCACCCCGCCCGCCGCUUCC